RNAcentral lists this unclassified non-coding RNA (143 nucleotides) under fungal sp. RNAcentral's name for it is "partial internal transcribed spacer region". The stretch from base 1 to 46 matches the Rfam family "Eukaryotic small subunit ribosomal RNA", at positions 1786 to 1831 of the family's 1831-position model. The record is from RNAcentral. Lineage: Eukaryota; Fungi.
AAGUCGUAACAAGGUUUCCGUAGGUGAACCUGCGGAAGGAUCAUUGAGAGAGUUGGGUGGGGGUUGUUGGAAUGAGAUGGGAGAUAUGAGUGACAAGAAAUCAUUUUUCAAUAUGACUAGCCACCUGGGAUCUCUGGGCUCUU